This 441-nucleotide ribosomal RNA is filed under the name uncultured bacterium. Its description in RNAcentral is "partial 16S ribosomal RNA". It matches the Rfam family "Bacterial small subunit ribosomal RNA", at positions 338 to 795 of the family's 1533-position model. The record is from RNAcentral.
CCUACGGGUGGCAGCAGUGGGGAAUAUUGCACAAUGGCGGAAACCCUGAUGCAGCAACGCCGCGUGAGUGAAGAAGUAUUUCGGUAUGUAAAGCUCUAUCAGCAGGGAAGAAGAAAGACGGUACCUGACUAAGAAGCCCCGGCCAACUACGUGCCAGCAGGCGCGGUAAUACGGAGGGGGCAAGCGUUAGCCGGAUUUACUGGGUGUAAAGGGCGCGUAGACGGCUGUGCAAGUCUGAAGUGAAAGCCCGGGGCUCAACCGCGGAACUGCUUUGGAAACUGUUUAGCUUGAGUACUGGAGAGGCAGGCGGAAUUCGUAGUGUAGCGGUGAAAUGCAUAGAUAUUAGGAGGAACACCGGUGGCGAAGGCGGCCUACUGGACAGAAACUGACGUUGAGGCUCGAAAGCGUGGGGAGCAAACAGGAUUAGAUACCCGUGUAGUC